This is an RNA transcript of Carlito syrichta (Philippine tarsier), 1751 nucleotides long. It is a transcript of the gene named tyrosine-protein phosphatase non-receptor type 9 pseudogene, with no coding region annotated. The record is from RefSeq and is a predicted model, not a curated record. NCBI's taxonomy places the organism in Eukaryota, Metazoa, Chordata, Mammalia, Primates, Tarsiidae. The transcript has a single exon.
CCGACAUGGCGCCGGAGCUGACCCCGGAGCAGGUUCAGGCCACCAAGCAGUUUCUCGAAGAGAUUAACAAAUGGACAGUUCAGUACAACGUCUUCCCGCUCUCUUGGAAUGUGGCAGUCAAGUUUCUCAUGGCCAGGAAGUUUGAUGUGCUCCGUGCUAUUGAGCUCUUCCACUUCUACAGAGAAACUCGAAGGAAGGCAGGCAUUGUGAAGCUGAAGCCUCACGAGGAGCCGCUCCGUUCUGAGAUCCUCAGUGGAAUGUUCACCAUCUCGAAUGUUCGGGACCCCACAGGAGCCUCCAUUGCCCUCUUCACUGCCACGCUGCAUCAUCCCCACAAGUCAGUCCAGCACGUGGUCCUUCAGGCUCUGUUUUACUUGCUAGACAGAGCUGUGGACAGCUUUGAAACUCAAAGGAAUGGAUUGGUGUUUAUCUAUGACAUGUGUGGUUCUAAUUAUACCAAUUUCGAACUGGAUCUUGGCAAGAAAGUCCUGAACCUGCUGAAGGAAACAUUUCCAGUUCGCUUGAAGAAGGUGCUGAUUGUGGGCGCUCCCAUCUGGUUCCGAGUGCCCUAUUCUAUCAGCCUCCUCCUGAAGGACAAAGUCUGCGAGAGGAUUCAGAUAUUAAAGACAUCCGAGGUCACCCAGCACCUACCCAGGGAGUGCCUUCCAGAAAACCUGGGUGGGUACGACAAAAUUGACCUCGCCACUUGGAAUUUCCAGUUCCUACCCCAGGUGAACUGCCACCCAGAUCCCUUCGAUGAGAUCAUCCUGUUCUCCCUCCCUCCUGCCUUAGACUGGGACUCAGUACAUGUUCCAGGUCCCCAUGCCAUGACCAUCCAAGAGCUGGUGGAUUAUGUGAACACCAGGCAGAAGCAGGGAAUAUAUGAGGAGUAUGAAGACAUCCGCCGUCAGAACCCCGUUGGCACUUUCCACUGUUCCAUGUCCCCAGGAAACCCGGAAAAGAACCGUUAUGGGGAUGUACCCUGCCUGGACCAAACCAGAGUGAAGCUGACGAAGCGAAGUGGCCCUACUCAGACAGAUUACAUCAAUGCCAGUUUCAUGGAUGGCUACAAGCAGAAGAAUGCUUACAUUGGUACACAAGGCCCUUUGGAGAACACUUACCAGGAUUUCUGGCUCAUGAUGUGGGAGCAAAAAGUCUUGGUGAUUGUCAUGACCACUCGCCUUGAGGAAGGUGGAAGGAGAAAGUGUGGCCAGUACUGGCCUUUAGAGAAAGACUCUCGGAUCCGAUUUGGCUUCCUCAUGGUGACCAAUCUUGGCGUGGAGAACAUGAACCAUUAUAAGAAAACCACGCUGGAGAUUCACAACACAGAGGAGCGGCAGAAAUGCCAGGUGACCCACUUCCAGUUCCUGAGCUGGCCAGAUUAUGGUGUGCCUUCCUCAGCCGCUUCUCUCAUUGACUUCCUGAGGGUGGUCAGACACCAGCAGAGUCUGGCCGUGAGCAACCUGGGUACACGUGCCAAAGGGCAGUGCCCUGAGCCCCCCAUCGUGGUCCACUGCAGUGCAGGCAUUGGCAGGACAGGUACCUUCUGCUCACUGGACAUCUGCCUGGCACAGCUGGAGGAGCUUGGCACCCUUAAUGUGUUCCAGAUGGUGUCACGCAUGAGGACCCAGAGGGCCUUCAGCGCCCAGACCCCUGAACAGUACUAUUUUUGCUACAAGGCCAUCCUGGAGUUUGCAGAGGAGGGCAUGGUAUCCUCUGGCCACAACCUGCUGGCCGUGGAGGGUCAGUAA